RNAcentral lists this ribosomal RNA (467 nucleotides) under uncultured bacterium. RNAcentral describes it as "partial 16S ribosomal RNA". It matches the Rfam family "Bacterial small subunit ribosomal RNA", at positions 28 to 507 of the family's 1533-position model. The record is from RNAcentral.
GAUGAACGCUGGCGGCGUGCUUAACACAUGCAAGUCGAACGGAAAGGCCCAAGCUUGCUUGGGUACUCGAGUGGCGAACGGGUGAGUAACACGUGGGUGAUCUGCCCUGCACUUCGGGAUAAGCCUGGGAAACUGGGUCUAAUACCGGAUAGGACCACUUCUUGGAUGUUGUGGUGGAAAGUUUUUUCGGUGUGGGAUGAGCUCGCGGCCUAUCAGCUUGUUGGUGGGGUAAUGGCCUACCAAGGCGUCGACGGGUAGCCGGCCUGAGAGGGUGUACGGCCACAUUGGGACUGAGAGACGGCCCAGACUCCGACGGGAGGCAGAAGGGGGGAAUAUUGCACAAUGGGCGCAAGCCUGAUGAAGAGACGCCGCGUGGGGGAUGACGGCCUUCGGGUUGUAAACUCAUUUCGCUAGGGACGAAGCGUUUUGUGACGGUACCUGGAGAAGAAGCACCGGCUAACUACGUG